This 1081-nucleotide unclassified non-coding RNA is filed under the name Hevea brasiliensis (rubber tree). Lineage: Eukaryota; Viridiplantae; Streptophyta; Magnoliopsida; Malpighiales; Euphorbiaceae. The record is from RNAcentral.
GGCAAGGAACAGCAAUGCACAGCUGUUAAACGAUAUUGCACACCAGUGUAAGCAUAUAAUGUAAUUAAAUCAAGGAACUUAAAAGGCAUAACACUAUGGUGCUACUGCUAGUGCAAGCAACUACAAAAACUCUCGGUCAUCGAUUGAACUUUGAAGAUGAAGACUCAGAGCUUGAUAGUUUAGGCAUGAGUUGAAUCCAUUCAUCAUCUCAAUCAAGUGAUCAUUGCAAUAUAAUCAUGAAACAUUUUACAAAUGCUUUUCCUCGAAAGCCAUAUUCUCCAUGAGAUGUUCAGAGAUUCAGUACAAGUCAAAACUUCCUUUGCAGCAAUAGUUGCCAUCAAAUGCCACUUUUCCCCCCAUCUCACAUGGGUAUGAGAAUCUAAGUGAGAGAAACAAAGAUUGUUUUUAACUGCAACUGAUGUUGCAGAGAUCUUUGUGCUAUCCAAUCAAAAAUCAAAGAAACUCCCCUAACAUUUGGCAAGAUAAAAUAGUAUAGGUGAUAUGCAACAAUCUCUUUAAUAUUUUAUUAAAAAAAAUUCCAAGUAACUUUUUUCUACUUAUCUUCCACUUUCUUCCCUUUUCACUUACUUCUAAUACAUGAAACCAUCACCACCGACAUGGCCAACUAUUCUACAAUACUAGAAUUCAUCAUCAGGUUACUGGUGGUUGAUGCCAACAUUUCUACCAUUAAUUGACUCAUAAGCACUAGUUAGUGACUCCAUACUGUUCCUAGGGUAGGUUACUAGCUCUUCCUUACCCUAUCAUGAUCCCUGUGCAAUUUCAAGUAUGGUCUUGCUCAAAACCAUGCUGUUUCUAAUUGAAAUUGACCUAAUAAGUUCAAAAUAUGACAUCAUUCCAGUACCUGACACCCUAAAAGUGAUAACACCCUCAAUGUGAUAUUUCAUCUCACAGGAAGUACGUGCACUGCAGUAAAAGUUUCAUUCUUAUACAGCAGCAACAUAUAACUAAAAUAUGAAAUGCCCAUAGCAAUACUGCAAACAUAGAGAAUGACAUCAUAAAUUGGAAAAUUGCCAAAUAGAAAUCACUCCCCCAAUACCUCGUGAAAUACAGCUGAAACGAA